UAGUGGAUUGAUCGAUUAAUUUUCUCCGUAUAAUUCGAGAAGCUCACUCGAUUUGGAAGUUUUUGGAGAUCGCGCCGCACUAUCAAACUCUUAUUUUGGUACUUUGGACUUUACAUUUUGGGUUAAAUAACAUGUAUAGGUAUUUUGGCUAAUGUGGCCUAUAUGUUUUGUUAUGUAUUUAGCUAAUUGGUUUGGCUUGAAAAUGGUAUAUAUUUUGAUAUGUAGGUGUAAAUGGCCUUAUGAUAUGUUUUGUAUAUUUGCUAUGUGAAUGCUUUAUUUUGUGAACUGGUAUUUAAAGUACCAAAUGGUUGAAAUUGAGAAUACGUAUGCAUGCUAAGUUAGGCACAAUGUUUCAUAUAUGUAAUUGACCAUGUAGGUAGACUUUGGAAGUAUAUUCAGUAUGUUUAAAAGUGGCCAAA
Gossypium arboreum is the source of this 419-nucleotide long non-coding RNA. RefSeq lists it as uncharacterized. The transcript is spliced from 2 exons. The record is from RefSeq and is a predicted model, not a curated record. NCBI's taxonomy places the organism in Eukaryota, Viridiplantae, Streptophyta, Magnoliopsida, Malvales, Malvaceae.